This 70-nucleotide transfer RNA is filed under the name Dipodomys ordii (Ord's kangaroo rat). It matches the Rfam family "tRNA". Rfam says of the family: Transfer RNA (tRNA) molecules are approximately 80 nucleotides in length. Lineage: Eukaryota; Metazoa; Chordata; Mammalia; Rodentia; Heteromyidae. The record is from Rfam by way of RNAcentral.
GGAUGUAGCUCAGUGGUAGAGCACUUGCCUAGUAUGCAUGAAGCCCUGGAUUCUAUCCCCAGAACUUCCA